RNAcentral lists this ribosomal RNA (491 nucleotides) under Enterococcus faecalis. RNAcentral's name for it is "bacterial SSU rRNA". It matches the Rfam family "Bacterial small subunit ribosomal RNA", at positions 28 to 492 of the family's 1533-position model. Lineage: Bacteria; Bacillati; Bacillota; Bacilli; Lactobacillales; Enterococcaceae. The record is from RNAcentral.
GACGAACGCUGGCGGCGUGCCUAAUACAUGCAAGUCGAACGCUUCUUUCCUCCCGAGUGCUUGCACUCAAUUGGAAAGAGGAGUGGCGGACGGGUGAGUAACACGUGGGUAACCUACCCAUCAGAGGGGGAUAACACUUGGAAACAGGUGCUAAUACCGCAUAACAGUUUAUGCCGCAUGGCAUAAGAGUGAAAGGCGCUUUCGGGUGUCGCUGAUGGAUGGACCCGCGGUGCAUUAGCUAGUUGGUGAGGUAACGGCUCACCAAGGCCACGAUGCAUAGCCGACCUGAGAGGGUGAUCGGCCACACUGGGACUGAGACACGGCCCAGACUCCUACGGGAGGCAGCAGUAGGGAAUCUUCGGCAAUGGACGAAAGUCUGACCGAGCAACGCCGCGUGAGUGAAGAAGGUUUUCGGAUCGUAAAACUCUGUUGUUAGAGAAGAACAAGGACGUUAGUAACUGAACGUCCCCUGACGUAUCUAACCAGAAGCC